AGCGAACGCUGGCGGCAGGCCUAACACAUGCAAGUCGAACGAACUCUUCGGAGUUAGUGGCGGACGGGUGAGUAACACGUGGGAACGUGCCUUUUGGUUCGGAAAAACUCAGGGAAACUUGUGCUAAUACCGAAUGUGCCCUUCGGGGGAAAGAUUUAUCGCCAUUAGAGCGGCCCGCGUCUGAUUAGCUAGUUGGUGAGGUAACGGCUCACCAAGGCGACGAUCAGUAGCUGGUCUGAGAGGAUGACCAGCCACACUGGGACUGAGACACGGCCCAGACUCCUACGGGAGGCAGCAGUGGGGAAUCUUGCGCAAUGGGCGAAAGCCUGACGCAGCCAUGCCGCGUGAAUGAUGAAGGUCUUAGGAUUGUAAAAUUCUUUCACCGGGGACGAUAAUGACGGUACCCGGAGAAGAAGCCCCGGCUAACUUCGUG
Molecule: ribosomal RNA, 433 nt
Filed under: uncultured bacterium
Lineage: Bacteria
Description: partial 16S ribosomal RNA
Rfam family: Bacterial small subunit ribosomal RNA
Source: RNAcentral